Molecule: ribosomal RNA, 301 nt
Filed under: uncultured bacterium
Lineage: Bacteria
Description: partial 16S ribosomal RNA
Rfam family: Bacterial small subunit ribosomal RNA
Source: RNAcentral
CAGCCGCCGCGGUAAUACAGAGGGUGCGAGCGUUAAUCGGAUUUACUGGGCGUAAAGCGUGCGUAGGAGGCUUCUUAAGUCGGAUGUGAAAUCCCUGAGCUUAACUUAGGAAUUGCAUUCGAUACUGGGAAGCUAGAGUAUGGGAGAGGAUGGUAGAAUUCCAGGUGUAGCGGUGAAAUGCGUAGAGAUCUGGAGGAAUACCGAUGGCGAAGGCAGCCAUCUGGCCUAAUACUGACGCUGAGGUACGAAAGCAUGGGGAGCAAACAGGAUUAGAUACCCCUGUAGUCCCUGUCUCUUUACA